This 429-nucleotide ribosomal RNA is filed under the name uncultured Basidiomycota. Its description in RNAcentral is "SSU rRNA". It matches the Rfam family "Eukaryotic small subunit ribosomal RNA", at positions 569 to 1003 of the family's 1831-position model. The record is from RNAcentral. Lineage: Eukaryota; Fungi; Basidiomycota.
AGCAGCCGCGGUAAUUCCAGCUCCAAUAGCGUAUAUUAAAGUUGUUGCAGUUAAAAAGCUCGUAGUUGAACUUCAGGCCUGGCUGGGCGGUCCGCCUCACGGCGUGUACUGUCUGGCUGGGUCUUACCUCUUGGUGAGCCGGCGUGGCCUUUAUUGGUUGCGUCGGGGAACCAGGACUUUCACCUUGAGAAAAUUAGAGUGUUCAAAGCAGGCCUACGUCUGAAUACAUUAGCAUGGAAUAAUAAAAUAGGAUGUGCGGUUCUAUUUUGUUGGUUUCUAGAGUCGCCGUAAUGAUUAAUAGGGAUAGUUGGGGGCAUUGGUAUUGAGUCGCUAGAGGUGAAAUUCUUGGAUUGACUCAAGACCAACUAUUGCGAAAGCAUUUGCCAAGGAUGUUUUCAUUAAUCAAGAACGAAGGUUAGGGGAUCGAAA